Molecule: long non-coding RNA, 658 nt
Organism: Solea solea (common sole)
Lineage: Eukaryota; Metazoa; Chordata; Actinopteri; Pleuronectiformes; Soleidae
Exons: 3
Source: RefSeq, a predicted model, not a curated record
CGUCAAAAGCCCCGCCCCGCAUUUCAGCGGUUUUUCGUCAGGCACGAACUACACGUCCAUGGUCCACAUCUCUACUAGAUUGGCGGAGUUUGACUGAGACGGAACGUGACUAAUAUGGAACCAUGAAGACUUGAACAGGAAGUCACAACAGUCUUUAAGAACAUGAGGAGCAUCAGCCUUUGUAUCACAAUAGCAACUACUUAGGACUACAAAAGCAAGACACCUGGCCAUACAGAACAUAGGACCUUCUGACUGCUAAUUUGGACUCCACGGCUGACACACCCUGAGAAUGUCAGCAAAUGUCCAGUCUCUCCACAAGAAAAUGAAAGCACCAGUGUUAUUUUUAUUUUUAAAAGAGUCAGCUUUUCUGACAGUGAUUUCAAGUGUUGCUCAGUUUUAUAUAAGUCCGUUCCGUCCUGAACAUCCUGAGAAUGUCUUUUGUUUUCCUUCUCAAUGAAUUUCUGCCUAUAAAAUCCAUGAGGAAGUGAAAGCUUCAGUGUUUUUAAGUUUAUAAAAGAGCCCAAUUGAUGGAAUUAUAGAAUUAGAAAAUUUGCGCUAGCAAGACGUUCUAUGGCCAUGUGUUUGUGGUUAUGUUAUGUAGCAAUUUAAAUAUAUCUAUGCCAUUUCAAAUGUGAAAUAAAAGUGUAUUUCAAACAAC